CCUACGGGAGGCUGCAGUGGGGAAUAUUGGACAAUGGGGGCAACCCUGAUCCAGCCAUGCCGCGUGUGUGAAGAAGGCCCUCGGGUUGUAAAGCACUUUCAGUGAGGAAGAACGCCUGGUGGUUAAUACCCAUCAGGAAAGACAUCACUCACAGAAGAAGCACCGGCUAACUCCGUGCCAGCAGCCGCGGUAAUACGGAGGGUGCGAGCGUUAAUCGGAAUUACUGGGCGUAAAGCGCGCGUAGGUGGCUUGAUAAGCCGGUUGUGAAAGCCCCGGGCUCAACCUGGGAACGGCAUCCGGAACUGUCAAUGUAGAGUGCAGGGGAGGAAGGUAGAAUUCCCGGUGUAGCGGUGAAAUGCGUAGAGAUCGGGAGGAAUACCAGUGGCGAAGGCGGCCUUCUGGACUGACACUGACACUGAGGUGCGAAAGCGUGGGUAGCAAACAGGAUUAGAUACCCUGGUAGUC
This 465-nucleotide ribosomal RNA is filed under the name Vreelandella stevensii. Its description in RNAcentral is "partial 16S ribosomal RNA". It matches the Rfam family "Bacterial small subunit ribosomal RNA", at positions 338 to 795 of the family's 1533-position model. Lineage: Bacteria; Pseudomonadati; Pseudomonadota; Gammaproteobacteria; Oceanospirillales; Halomonadaceae. The record is from RNAcentral.